GACGAACGCUGGCGGCGUGCUUAACACAUGCAAGUCGAACGAAGUGGCGCACGGGUGAGUAAUACGUGGGUAACCUGCCCUCCUUUUUGGGAUAAGCCUUGGAAACGGGGUCUAAUACCGAAUAAAGGGGGAUGGGCUCGCGGCCUAUCAGCUUGUUGGUGGGGUGAUGGCCUACCAAGGCGGUGACGGGUAGCCGGCCUGAGAGGGUGACCGGCCACAUUGGGACUGAGAUACGGCCCAGACUCCUACGGGAGGCAGCAGUGGGGAAUUUUGGACAAUGGGGGAAACCCUGAUCCAGCCAUCCCGCGUGUGCGAUGAAGGCCUUCGGGUUGUAAAGCACUUUUGGCAGGAAACCGGUACCUGCAGAAUAAGCACCGGCUAACUACGUGCCAGCAGCCGCGGUAAUAC
Molecule: ribosomal RNA, 408 nt
Filed under: uncultured bacterium
Lineage: Bacteria
Description: partial 16S ribosomal RNA
Rfam family: Bacterial small subunit ribosomal RNA
Source: RNAcentral